AGAGUUUUAUGUAGUCUCCAUCAUUGUAGCAAGGCGUUUCCUGUUUUAUGCCUCGAUCAUCUCUGCUACCAUAAUCCAAUGUUCCGCCACAGAUAUGACGACUACUCGGCUCGUCAUGUAAAACGAUAUAUGGCUGCUUCAAUCUUGCCUCCUCCGUCAUAGCUGCUCAGGCACGUCGGAGCAUCUAUAAUUAGCUCUGGCCUCUGAUUUUUCUUUGGGAAGAGCUUAAGUUUGACUUAUGUUUACAGAGAAGGAGGAAAAUAUUUGGCCUGGCGCUUACCCCUCCGUAUGAAGUAAUUAAGGCUUGUGAUGCUACGUGUCUACCUCCUGUAAGUUGAUCAUUGGCUUGUUGCUUAGUUCGUGUUGCGUUCAGUAGCAGUACAUUACAAUGAUCCAAUUUCCUACGGAAGGAUCUAUAUAUGUACCGUGGUUGGUUUACUUCAGAUUGCAUUACGUCCGCUGUCUACUUCGUCGCCAACACGCAGGCGCAAGCCAUGUUCGUGCAGCAGGGCACCAAGAUGAUCCCGGCCGCGUCGCUUACCUCCGUUGAGACAGGGCUUGUCGUGGCCGUCGUCGCGCCAGCCUCGCCGUUCACACCGCUGCAGCUCAUGGGGCUCGGCCACGCCAUGGCGGCGGUGGCGGGCCGGCGCCGCGCCCCGCAGUCUGCGGAUGGACGGGGAAGGGGAUUCUACAACCAUGGCCCAUGGGCAUCGCUUGGGCGCGUGGCUGGUGCCGCAGUAUGUCGAGAGGGCGUUCUCGGACGCGUCUCGCUCUCGUGGCUGUGGUUCAGCUGCAGUUUUUGUCUUACGACCAGUCGCCGGAGACGAUGAACGGCACGUCAAAACAGCUCAACGGCGUUCUAAUUCCUGUCACUCUCGCUCGGGAACGUGAUUAACUCGCAGCUAGUGACGCUGGUCGCUUCCGUCGCCGUGGCAAGGGGGGAGGACGGGCUGGAUCACCGGGAUUGGAUGAGAUUGAUUAUACCGAAUUGGUUUGGUUAUACAGUACCAAUUGUUCUUUGUUAUUCCGAAUUGGUUUACAUAUCGAGAUUGAUUUUGUAUGCAAUAUCGAGAUUGGUUUAUGUCGUGACAAAUCCGGAUUCUAUGGGUUUGAUUUAUAUAACUUUGAAACAAUCCACACCGUAAAAUUUCUGCUACUUUAAUUAGAUAUUAGAAGAUUAUAUGACAUAAAUUCAUAUCCAUUAUAUUCCUAGUCAAGGAUAUUUGCUUAUGCAACGCUUGAGUUUUCCAUAAUAAAAACAGCGAUUCGUGGCAAUUCUGUGAUCUGCGGCAAUCUUUUCGGCCAUGCAAGUAAUCGGGCCGUAGAUAUGUUUUCGCGGUUGGAUCGAUCGUGGCCAGAUUCUAUCCUAUUCGGACGUCAGUUUUGGAUGGAAACAACGAAAUACUCCCGCCAUGUCUUCUCCAAAUUUGAAACCAAAAUUUUCGCCUACAAAUCCGGCUCCUCCUUGCUCUCUUCCGCACUCAUUCCUUUCCUGCUUCUUCCAAGUUUCCAAGUUUGCGCAAUGGUUCUUCCAUUCGACUUAAACAUUCCACCAGAUGAGCAAGAUGAAGCCCCCUUCCAUGAUGAGGUACGAGGGCACUCCAGCCAUGAAGAUGGAGCCGCUGGACAAAGCUUAUUGCAACGUCGUCAUCUCGGUUUAGCCGGCCGCGGGCACGCCAUGAUCAGUGCAGCCGGCAUCACCAAUAUGCCGCUGGAUCAACUCCGGCAUCUCGGACGUGGACGGGUCACGAGUCGCAACACUGUGCACGGUGGCGGGCGCGGCGACGGUUCUUCGGCGUCGGCGGGACGCGGCCAAGCUGAUUCGGCAUCGCCUGGACGCGGCCGAGGGGCUGCGCCGUCUGCUGGACGCGGACGAGGGGCUCCGCCAUCGCCUGGACGCGGACGAGGAGCUCCGCCGUCGGCAGGACGUGGCUACGGAUCUUCGCCUUCGACUGAUGACGGCUCAGGACACAUCGGGCAUGGUUUGUCGUCUUCAGAUGGAGAAGACGACACCGGCAACAUGAACGGUAGUAUCGAUCUAAGAGGAGGUGCGUGCAGAAGGAGGAGGCAGGGAGGCCGCGCGCAUGAAGAAUAGGCGAGGGGCCGCGCAUGCGUGAGUUAGUUAAUUAAUCUCCUGGCUUUUCUGUUCCCGUGGGGAGUAACUGCUUGCUUCGUACGAUGAGUUUUGCUGGCUUGGUACUCGUGUGAAGGAAAAUCAUCCCCGUAUACUGGAAAUUGGGAAAAAGAGAGAACGCCUGGUAAACUGAAAUGGAGGGAGUAGCUUGUUUGGAUCAACUUACCCCAAGAAUUAUGCAGCCACAAACAAUAAUAGUUUUCAAUGCAUGAAAAGUUGACUUGGUGAUUUCCUCUCUUAAUGAAAUAAUAGAUAGGGUCUCAAAAGAAACAAAAGUGUAAGACAGGCUGUCAAAGAGUUCAUUUCACCGUAUCGCAAACAUGUAAAAUACAUUUUUUCCGGCAGUAAAAUACAUCUCUAGUUCUAAUCUUUAUGACACGGAGGGAGUAGUUGCGAUUGGUCCGGGUCAAGGUCUUCUGUUCACAUUAAAGCUGCCUUUAGGCUCCGCUUAUUUCCUUGUUUUCACAUUAGAGUAGCCUAUAUAUAGCAGCCAGCGGUAGCUCUUGCUCCGUUUGUGUUUUUGUUUUUCUGAAUUCUGAACAUGCAUGAAGCAGCUUUUGCUGCCACGGCAAGGCACGAUUCAUAUCCGAGAGAGCGAGAGAGUAGUGUGCCCACGGGCUUUUGAUCAACGGGAGGGCGAGGCCCGCCACCACUAAUUACGGCAUUGUUCGCCCCCCGCGCGUUUUCCCUUGUUCUUCUCGAUAAGGAAAAAAAUUAGUCUACAAAGCAGGUUCUCUGCUCGAUCCGAGCUACAAUGAACUCAGACCGCGGAUAUGUCGUCGUCCUCUUCGCCACCUGCCCCGUGCAGCGAGCCGUACAACCAAAGCACCACCCCCCGAGGAAUCGGAGGAUGGGAGGCCGCCUGCCUCGUCCUCAUCGUCCUAUGCUUUUGUAGCAUUUGCUUCUUGGUCUUCGUAUGGAGGCUGUGGAGGCCG
This is a long non-coding RNA of Brachypodium distachyon (stiff brome), 3069 nucleotides long. RefSeq lists it as uncharacterized. The record is from RefSeq and is a predicted model, not a curated record. The transcript has 2 exons. NCBI's taxonomy places the organism in Eukaryota, Viridiplantae, Streptophyta, Magnoliopsida, Poales, Poaceae.